UCGCUUUGAAAUAUGUUCAAUACUGAGCAUAGAAGAUGUCACACAGAAGACUUCUCAUGUAUCCUAGGUUCUUCAGGUGGUUGGUAACUUUCAAGGUACUAAAUCUUCUGUAAAACACUGUUGAAUGGCUCUUGUAAAAAUUGCAGAGGAAUGAAGAUCACUUCCUGUUUACAAUAAAGGUUGGGAGUACAAUUAGUCAGACAUGUCACUGGUGGGAAAAGAGUUACCCUAUUGUAGAAACUUCAGACAACAUAGACAUUCGAAAAAAGCUAGAAUAAGUACAUGUCUUGGAAUUGUAUCUCAGCAUAGAAGAGGUCAUACAGAAAACUUCCAUGUAUCCUGGGUUCUUGAGGUGGUUGGUAACUUCCAAGGUACUAAAUCUUCUGCAGAACACUGUUGACUGGCUCUUGUAAAUAUUGCAGAGAAAUGAAAACGCUUCCUGUUUGCCGAAAAGGUUGGAUGUAGAAUUAGUCGACACAUCAGUGGGAAUUUAACCUGGGCGGGUGGUGCAGCGCUGCG
This 519-nucleotide long non-coding RNA is filed under the name Capsicum annuum. Its description in RNAcentral is "long non-coding RNA (CANN_LNC016650)". The record is from RNAcentral. Lineage: Eukaryota; Viridiplantae; Streptophyta; Magnoliopsida; Solanales; Solanaceae.